AGUUCAAAGGUGAGAUUGAACUUAAAAACGCCAGUCUAAAAAGGGAUCACGAUGUCGGUUGGCUCUGUCAUUUAAUAAUUCUAUCGAGUAGCACAUGAUGUGGUACUUACGCCACCAUAUGAAAGCGAACGGUGGGUACGUUUGACCGUGGCAGUCUAAACGGCUUCCAAUACUAAUUCCAGUAAUUCCUCUUCACGGGCCAUCCUCGUUUCCCAUCUAAUCGGUCAGAUCUCUGGGAACGGUCGAAAAGGUCUUGGAAAAAAAGGAAAAGAAGCAACAGGUAUGCCUGGAGACGGUAAGAGCGAGUACAAAAGCGACGACAGAUAAUCCGAUGCGACUGUGUACGAGUCAAAGAUCUCGUAUUGGAUCGGAAUAGGCACGUACAUAUAUACCUAACUUGGAAGGCAUCUAAUGCGGUUAAGGAAUUUCAGUCUGCUGUCGGGAGCCACCGAUGGAUUGGGCUGCGGAUAAUCUCGACAAAAACAAGAUUACACGUUUACGAGAUCAAUUGGAAGACCAAGGUGACUAAAAGGACUGGAAACGUGUCGAAGGAAACUGCGGCAAAAUCGGAUUCCUGGCAUGGUCGACCUGAUUCUGCGACUGAGUCCAACGUGUCCGAAGCCAGGGAAUGCAAAGUCUCGCGGUUAACCUGGAUAUAUCUGCGCAUCCAAGCCAAACUAGGAUCCUGGACUUACCCAGAUCUAAGUCAAAGAAACGAUCAACAUGAGAAACCGGUUGAAACUAAUCCAGAACAGUACGCUUGCGUGUCUUAAAAAAGUGAUGAUUCCUGAUUACAUGAUGCUGAUGCAACAAUUCUAUCAUAUUUCCAGUCGAUUCUCUGCGCAACUGACUUAAAUCCUGAGCACGAAAAUUAUAAGACUCCUUGACAACGUACUAUGCUCUUGUGGGACGUGUAUCUCCUCUUAAAAGUUCUGAAAAGUUCACGUAAUUCGAUAUAUUAAUACAUUUUCAAAUAAAAUAUUCCUUGCUAAUUUCAAACUAAAUUUUCUAUAUUUCAAAUUACAUUUCCAAAGCCAUAAACCUUUCAAAAAUCUACGUUACGAAGCUAUAUUUCCAAAAUCAUCAAUUUUAAGAGAAUCUAUAUUACAAAUCUACAUUUCCGGAAUUGCCAGUUUUUAAAUAUUUCUAAAAAUAUUUGUUAACUCGAAAGAAGAUUCUAUUUGUAAAUAUUAGUCUAACUCUUUUGAAAGAUGAUCAAGAUUUGUCAAAUCAAAGGAUGUCAACAACG
RNAcentral lists this unclassified non-coding RNA (1249 nucleotides) under Bombus terrestris (buff-tailed bumblebee). RNAcentral describes it as "misc RNA ENSBTSG00005038428.1". Lineage: Eukaryota; Metazoa; Arthropoda; Insecta; Hymenoptera; Apidae. The record is from RNAcentral.